AACGAACGCUGGCGGCAGGCUUAACACAUGCAAGUCGAACGGGCCCUUCGGGGUCAGUGGCAGACGGGUGAGUAACGCGUGGGAACGUGCCCUUCAGUUCGGGAUAACCCGGGGAAACUUGGGCUAAUACCGGAUACGUGCGAGAGCAGAAAGAUUUAUCGCUGAAGGAUCGGCCCGCGUCUGAUUAGCUGGUUGGUGGGGUAAUGGCCCACCAAGGCGACGAUCAAUAGCUGGUCUGAGAGGAUGAUCAGCCACAUUGGGACUGAGACACGGCCCAAACUCCUACGGGAGGCAGCAGUGGGGAAUAUUGGACAAUGGGCGCAAGCCUGAUCCAGCCAUGCCGCGUGAGUGAUGACGGCCUUAGGGUUGUAAAGCUCUUUCGCACGCGACGAUAAUGACGGUAGCGUGAGAAGAAGCCCCGGCUAACUUCGUGCCAGCCGCCGCAGUAA
Molecule: ribosomal RNA, 449 nt
Filed under: uncultured bacterium
Lineage: Bacteria
Description: partial 16S ribosomal RNA
Rfam family: Bacterial small subunit ribosomal RNA
Source: RNAcentral